Molecule: unclassified non-coding RNA, 341 nt
Filed under: soil metagenome
Description: partial contains 5.8S ribosomal RNA, internal transcribed spacer 2, and large subunit ribosomal RNA
Rfam family: 5.8S ribosomal RNA (bases 1-120)
Source: RNAcentral
GAUGAAGAACGUAGCGAAAUGCGAUAAGUAGUGUGAAUUGCAGAAUUCAGUGAAUCAUCGAAUCUUUGAACGCACAUUGCGCCCUUUGGUAUUCCAAAGGGCAUGCCUGUUCGAGCGUCAUUUGUACCCUCAAGCUUUGCUUGGUGUUGGGCGUCUCGUCUCUAGCUUUGCUGGAGACUCGCCUUAAAGUAAUUGGCAGCCGGCCUACUGGUUUCGGAGCGCAGCACAAGUCGCACUCUCUAUCAGCAAAGGUCUAGCAUCCAUUAAGCCUUUUUUUCAACUUUUGACCUCGGGUCAGGUAGGGAUACCCGCUGAACUUAAGCAUAUCAAUAAGCGGAGGA